Long non-coding RNA from Chinchilla lanigera (long-tailed chinchilla), 530 nucleotides. RefSeq lists it as uncharacterized. The record is from RefSeq and is a predicted model, not a curated record. Lineage: Eukaryota; Metazoa; Chordata; Mammalia; Rodentia; Chinchillidae. The transcript is spliced from 3 exons.
GUGCCUUGCAGCCCCAAGCUGGGAAGCUUUCUGACCCUCUGGGUUGCCAUAUGAACAAAGACAUCAGCAACUCUGGGGACUAAAUGCUCCUGAGCAGAUGGCUUCUCCGGACACAGCCCCUAAUUUAGAAAUUGCACCAAAAAGCAUGUGGUGGACUGACAACUGGUGGUCAACUUGUAACACUCAGCUGACUGACAUUUCAACCCCUUUGAUCAUGAGCUAUCAUUCAAGCGAAGUUGGAAAGAAAUGGAAUAACAGCAAAUGUGAAAUGGACAGAUACUAUUUCCCUGGCAGUAGAGAAGAGGAUGCCAGGGAAAGACCCUUAAGGACAACCCAGAGGCAUAGGCAUUACCAGCACCAUUCUACAGAUGAGGAAACUGAGCCAGUGAAGACAACAGACUUGCUGGAGGUCACAUAACUAGGAAGAAAAGCUGUCAGGAUUUGAACUCAACCAGCAUGUGUUCAGCCCAUGUGAUAAAUAAAAAAUAAAUAAAUAAAAAAUAAAAUAAAAAAUAAAAAUAAAAAAUACA